Molecule: long non-coding RNA, 1153 nt
Organism: Leucoraja erinaceus (little skate)
Lineage: Eukaryota; Metazoa; Chordata; Chondrichthyes; Rajiformes; Rajidae
Exons: 4
Source: RefSeq, a predicted model, not a curated record
GGAAGGUUAUCCUACAAUUGCACCAGAAGAUGAUUGUCAUAUAUCUGUGUAGGAAGGAACAGCAGAUGCUGGUUUGGGAAGGGUCUCAACACGAAACAUCACCCAUUCCUUCUCUCCAGAGACGCUGCCUGUCCCGCUGAGUUACUGCAGCUUUUUGUGUCUAUCUAUGGUCAUAUAACUCUUUGCUUAAUCUAUUCAACAAUCAUGUGAAGGUAUAUUUUAAAUUGUCAUUUACAACUUUCCCUUCUCAUUUUGAUAACAGUAUUGGGCUGGUGGAAGCAGAUCGAUUCCUGUUUACAUCCUCUGUGGAUUGUACUGUGAAGCUGUGGAGUGUUAAAGGAGAGUUUGUAGGUGUCUUUGGCCAAGGUAAACCGUGGAAUAUUCAUAGAAGCCUUUCAGAAAAUAAUCCGGGGCAAUCUAUAAUCACCAAGGAGUCAAAUUCACAAUGUGAUGGCGGAACUAAUGAGAGAGUUAGAAGUAAAUCGGAGACUGCACUGUUCCUACUCAAAACGAAAUAUCAAGAAGUUACAAAAGACAUAGAACAGGUGGAUUCUGUUAUCAAGAUGAGAUUGCAGGAACAGAAGCGGAAGCAUAUUGAAAAACAACAAGUUUAUGGAAGGCCGGCUGCAUAUCAGUCACUGCAUUGUCAUGAUUUGGCCGACACUUCAAUGAAGAUCUUGAAGCCUGAUCCAGCAACAGAACUGUUCCCUGUUAAUAACAUCAUUUCAGAGCCCUGAAACCCCAAAGUAGAACAUGGCAGUAUUUAUAAAUUACAUUGAUAACCUGUGAUUGAUAUUGAUAUUUUAAAUCACUAUAAAUAGGAUUCUAGAUAUACUCUUCAAAUAUAGUCACUAAUAUUGCAUUUCCUACUGAUGGUGAUAGUGGAGGAUAGCUAGACUAGAUGCCCUGCUUUUUGAGGAUCUAUCUGGACAUCUGUAUAUUUGUGUUGAAAUUAAUUGGGUGGUUCUUGCAUCAAGUUGCAUCCAGGAUACUAAAGGAAGAAUAACCCAUAUUUUCUCUUGUGGUGUCAGUCAUUUCUUAUGUGUGAAUCAAAUUUACUAGUCAAGGUUCUGUGAUAGUGCAGUAUACAUUCUGGCUGAAAUGGCCCAUCAUCAUUUGCAACUGGAUAUGUGAAGAUUGCAGGACUUUAACU